GGCGACGCGAACACUCGAGGAGGCUUUUACGACGCCGAGAUCCUCGAACUGACGGGGCUGUGCAUUCUACAAAGGGCAGCGAUCGGACUGUCCUCUCAUCUCGACAACUUUUCUGUCGCUGUACCAUCAUAACGCUACUGUUCGAUGGAUAAUUCGUUUUCAGGACUACCUGUGGCUCGGCUGUUGAUGCGGGAGGUGCUGUAGGGCCCUACUGCCUAACACUUGCUGACGAGGACAUCCUUGCAAAGAAUGAGAUCGUGGAUCCUAGCAUCGGCCUCCAGAAAAGGAAGGAAUGGGGACACGUUUUCCAGGGAGCCGCGAGCUGCACUUGGACCCGCAAAGAGCCGCGUGCAGCUCGCGAGCCUCACUUUGGUCACUCCUG
Long non-coding RNA from Ixodes scapularis (black-legged tick), 382 nucleotides. RefSeq lists it as uncharacterized. Lineage: Eukaryota; Metazoa; Arthropoda; Arachnida; Ixodida; Ixodidae. The record is from RefSeq and is a predicted model, not a curated record. The transcript has 5 exons.